Long non-coding RNA from Sceloporus undulatus (fence lizard), 253 nucleotides. RefSeq lists it as uncharacterized. The record is from RefSeq and is a predicted model, not a curated record. The transcript has 4 exons. Lineage: Eukaryota; Metazoa; Chordata; Lepidosauria; Squamata; Phrynosomatidae.
AGAUCUUUCUACAGAAAUAACCACUGACAGUUCCUAAUUUUUGUCUUCAGGAAUAUGGAAACCUAGAAGUUUUUCCACAUUCAUCCCUAAUCUCAGUGUAUGUGAAGGCACCACUGUACUUUCAAAGGUGGAUCACCAGCAUGUGCAGCUAUCAGAUUCCAGGCACCAAAGCAGUCAAACCAGAAGAUGUUUCCAAAGCACCCCACUGUGACGGAUGUUAUAAAGUGUAUUUUACUGGUUCAACUGAUAUAGC